Long non-coding RNA from Passer domesticus (house sparrow), 8512 nucleotides. RefSeq lists it as uncharacterized. The transcript has 2 exons. The record is from RefSeq and is a predicted model, not a curated record. NCBI's taxonomy places the organism in Eukaryota, Metazoa, Chordata, Aves, Passeriformes, Passeridae.
CGGACACCAACUUGGCAGUGUUGGACAAAAAGAUUCACUUUCUAAACAGUUAUUUCUCAUCAACACGUAAAAGAGUUAAUCCUGCCUUUCUACUCAGCCCAAAUGAGGUAGCAUAGGGAGCACUGUGUUCAGUUCUGAACACCUCUCUUAUGAGGAAAGAUUGAGAAGGCUGGGCCUGUUUAGCCUUGAGAAGAGGUGAAUGAGUGAGGACCUCAUCACUGUCUAUAAUACGUAUCUGAAGGGAGGGUGUCAAGAGGAUGUUUCCAGGCUCUUCUCAGUGGUGCCAAGCAAUACGACAAGAAGCAAUGUGCAGAAACUGAUGCACAGGAAAUUCCAUCUGAAUAUGAGGAAGAACUUCAGUGUGCGAGUGACUAAGCAAUGGCACAGAUUGUCCAGAGAAGUUUUUGAGUCUCUCUCAUGGGAGCUAUUCAAGAAUUGUCUGAACACAAUUCUGUGCUCAUCUGCCAGCAGGGAGAUUGGAGCCACUGUGAUCACUUUCAAUCUAACCAUUCUGUGUUUCUGUGAUUUUCCUCAUAGCAGUAGGUUUGGAGUAUUAAAAUACUUUGUGUAGUAUGUCCAAUAAUCUUCACUCUUUCAGCAUGGUUUCACAUAAUCUGAAAUACUCUGACAUCAAAACUUGAACUAAUAUCAAGAGAUUUCUUGAAAAAAGAAGGAAGGCAUAGAAAGGAUGGUGAAACCACCUAUUCAGAUUUCUUUUUCAUUCUGCUCUGUAUUCAAGUUACCUGCUGUUACCAAAUUUAAAUACAAAUAACAAUCUUAUGGAUACACAAUCUCAUGUAAGAAGCAAUUAGAUAUAUUUAUUAAAGUAAACAGCAGCAUAAUUGUUCUGGUUUAGGACAAAUCCAGGAGAAAAUAUCCAACAGGGGCCCCCAAGAAAGCAAACCUGCAUGGCCCCUCCUCCCAACCAGUUCAGGAAAGAAUUUCCUUGGAGAGAGGUAGAAAAAACCUGUUUAUUUAACAGGCAAAGCACUCCCUAGCACAAAAAAUGAACAAAACCAGAUGACAAAGCUCAUUCGUUGCUCUGAAGAGAUGAAAAGUUCAGAAAGUCUCUCCGGUGGGGGGUUGCUCUGUUAUCAGUCGCUCCGGUGCUGGGAAAGGCUGCACAGUAGGUCCUGGCAGACUGCAAAGUGUGAGCUCCCAGUGUUUCCCCUGGUCCCAGUCCAGAGCAGGCUCAAACAGUUCCAAAAAAAGGGAAAGAAAAUCAGUCCAGGGCAACUCCUCUUCCUCAGCUAGCUAAACUAACUAAAUAGAAAAGGAGCGUGGUGUUCUGCCCCAUCCGUGCCCAGAGAACACAGUCCAGCCGAAUGUGGAGGAGUGAAUGCAGUCCCUGAUAACAAACUCUGCUUCUUCUUCUCCACACCUUUGCUCUCAGCCAGUCUUGAAGGCACAGAAUAUAAUAUCCAGCAUAAACAGGACACCCAGUUGGGAAUACAAGCAUCAUAAUGUCACCCUAGGACCUUAAUUUACAGCUUUAAGAAUAAAGUCUGGAGAAGAUCAUGAAGAUGACUGAAGCUCCUAAGUGAUGGUAUCCUUGAAGAAAUACUAUUUUGAAGUACAAAAGAGCCAGUGCUGAGAAGCUCCUUGGUAAGGAUAAGAAGACAGAAACAAGAAGACAGAAACUCCACUACACAGUGAGAGCAGAAUUCCAAUAAUUAACAGAUCUAUUCCUUUCUCUAUUCCUUUAACUCAAUCCAGUCCAACAGAACUGUUAGAACAGUUCAUUAAGAUAUGAAAAACUGAGAUCUCAUCUCUGGUUUAAUUAAUAAACUAAUGGUUAAUCCAGGGCGAUCCAAAUAAUCUCAAAAGGGCCAUUUGCUAAUUUGUUAAUGAGUUCCUCUUUCUAAAAUGUAUUCUUGAUAAAUAUUUAAUUGCUAUAUUCUCAUAAAAGUAUAAGAGUUAAUAAAUAUUUUUUUUUUCCAAAUAGGGAACAAGAGGACAGGAGGAGAAAUCUCAAGUGGGGUUCUUUUAUUUUACACAUCUCAUCCUCCUCUAUAGAACCGAAGAUUAAUGGAUGACAUGCUGCUAUUUUCUACUUCGAAAUAGAGCAAUAUAGGAUUUAAUCUUUUUGUUGCCAUGACACCGACCAAAAAAUGGGUCAGAUGUGGUGUUAAGGAAAGAUUUUAACUGAAUUUUUUAAAUAAAUCCAUAAGGCCUCUUUUAUGAUGUCUGUAUAUUUUAGUUUAUCUAUAAUAUGUACAUAUAGAUCUACAUAUCCUGACCUAUUUAUUCUGUAAAUAUAUUUUUUAUACAGGUGAUGGAACUAAUCUUUCUUUUGUAGAUGGUGAACUAAAAAAACAAAUAAAUAGCUCCUCAGGUAGAGAUGUAAAGAUGUUAAUGCAGAAUAUAAGCUACUAGUUAAUACCAUGGUCUAGAUGAUCAGCAACCCAUUAGUGUUCAGCAUGAGAGAUCUUUGUUCCACACUGACUGCAGUUUUGGCAUUUAUUUGAAGAAAAGGGCUACCAGACUAUUGGUGCAAUGUUCCUUAAAGAGCAAAUAACAUGCAAGAGGCAAGAUAAAAGGGCAGAGUGGAUAAAUUCCAGUGGCUUUGUUUAGAAUUCUGUCAUGUAAUACCUAGCUAUAUCAUACACCAGGCAGAAAAAUAAAGUGCUGAAAUCUUGGCCUAGCAAGUUAUAAAAAAAUCAUACCUUAACUAUUCUACCCAGCUGCCACAUUUAUGAGUAAGGUCUUAUUUUACAAAACUACAGAUGGGCAGGUAUAGAGAUAUCUAUUUCUGUACAGCAGACAGUAAAUAUUUAUUCACAGCUGCUAGGUCAAUUCCAAUUACCUGCAAAAAAAUAAAUCCACUUCAGCCAUUUCUUUGACCAAGGAAAAAAAAAGAAUGAAAACAUACCAAAGCAAAGAAAAAGUAAAUGAUAUUGAGGAAAAAUUAAAAAGCAGGAAAACAAAAGACUUAGUGUGUUAUGUCAGGCCUAAUCCUGAAAGGUGUUUGGUGAGUUAAUUGACUGCUAUUUGGUCUAAAAUUUACAUUUCAAUUACAUGAAUUCAAGUAGUGCACAUAAUCCAUAAAGCCAGAGCAAAGAAAAGGAAAUAGAAAACUGAGUUAGUAUUGCAUUUUCUAAGACCAUGAAUUUUUUAUUAAGUGAUUAUUAAUUGUGCAAAGUCUUGCAAAAUAUAAUGCCAUGCAAGCAAUAAUUACUAAAAAUUAUCAUGUUUAAUAAUCCUGCAUUUUUUUAGCACUAGAGGCCACUUAAACAGCAGUUAAGAGCAGGAAACUGUCAAAAGAUAUUUUUGUAUAUCUUGCAUAGGAUAUCAAUAUGCAAGUGGAAAAUGAGGAGGACUGGAAAUGUUAGCCUGAGUAGAGUGUUCCUUGUAAUGUUUCCUGAUUUUUGUUUCUGCAAACUACAGAGUGUAAAGCACAUUCCUGCUACCAUUUCAUUUUAUCUUACAACAUUAAGAGGUAGAGAUUCUCCCAGAGUCUGUGGUGAAGACCGUGGUGAGGCAGAUGUCCCUUUGCAGCCCAUGAGGGUCCACAGUGGAGCACAGAUCCAUCUGCAGCCCAUGGUAAAACCUAAAUAUUAGAAUAUCGAGUUAAAAAACUGUGAAUGUUUUUUGUGUGCUUAAGAUGUUUUUAAUAUAUUACAAGUUAGGCAAAUAUUAGGUAAAAUCAGAUAGAAUCCAUAACAUGGGUGUGAGAUGCACUCUUCCUCAAAGAGACUGUUUAUACUGAAAAAUUGGACUCUUGUUUGCUGUAGCUGGCUUUCCUAUUAAACUUGUUUCAGAAAUUUCUUCUGCUCACAAGGCAGGAAGACCUAUGCCAUAAGGAUGUCUGUCCCUACUUUUGAAUAAAAUGGAUUGUGACUUGCAUUUUCUGCUGAACUCACUGUUGUCAAUAUAUGUUAGCUUUGGUCUGAGCAUGCCUAGUGAAUGGUGCCCAUGAGGGAACACAGUGCUAACAAUACCUAAACCAAGAGCCUCUAACAGCCCUAUGAAGAAGACAACAGUUGCAUCAAUUGGUGCAGCAUAUUUUUUUGCUGAUGCACAGCUUUGACACCUAACAAGAUUGCUUCUUAGGAGCAGCUGAUCUGCUUAGCACCAUGGGAGAUUGUAGGUAACUCUGUUCUGCCCAGGGAAUUUAGCUGCUGAGUUUGCAUCUUAAUCUGUGCAUUUGUCUCUUCUACAGAGAGUCCAAACAAAGAACUAGUGGCAUCUCUACUUAAAAUUCUAUAUUGGGUAAAGGAUGAACUCUCAGUAUACCCCAAGGAGUUUCAGAAAGCAUUAGAUAUCUCAAGCCUGUGAUAAUUUACUAUACACAGCCAUUAACAGACACCAUUUUAUCCCUGAGCUCCUCUUAAAGUUGCACAUUUAAAUUCCAUUUCCAGAGACUUUAUUCAAAAUUAAGUAUUUAAACAUUUAUUUUCAACUCUUCUAAAUAAGUAGGAGACUAAAUUCAGUGGGUUAAUUAUUAAUAUCACAUUCUUCAUUCAGUUCCUUCUGAGACAUGACUGAAAAAUUGACCACAACAGUUUUGUUAUUGCCUGACUUCCUGUCCAAUACUUUUUUAUUAUCUAAAUUGCAGGGGAUGAUGGACCUAACAUGGCUCUGCACAGCUUUUGAGUAGGGAAGGAAGAUAAAGAGGAUUUUGCAUGGUAUACAAGUUAUCCAGCUGGGUGAUUUUUCAGUUUGCCUGAUCUAAUUACCUUUAUUACCAUCUCCUCUGCAAAACAAAAGAGUUCAGCUUGUGUUUUUGCAGAUUCGAGAAUGCAGGCACUUGAUGGAUGCAUAGAAUACCUUCAUUUCAGGGCUUGAAAUAUGGACUCAUGAAUUUAUUGAGAGUCACGCAGACACCACAACUAUCUGAUUGUGGGUUUUGGAGUGAUUAGUGUGGAUUUGCUACAACCUGCUUGUGAUGAGAAAGAUGAGGGUGCAUAUUUGCUUGUCUCUGUCUCUGUGCAGAACAGGACUUCUUCCCCCUUUUUCCCUAGUGCAUCAUAUCUCUGCUUGGUGUAUCUAAUUGAUUUUUCUAUUUCAGAGGAUUGGAGCUUUGCCAGUCUUGUAGUGCCUGCCUGAAGCUUUUUACAGACUUCUGCUUCCUGCUCCCUUUUCUUUCCUUGUGAAUCUUUUCCUAUUGUCGGAUUUUCUGUAUUUAAGUAGUUUUUUAUUUAAUUUUUGUCUUGUUUAAGCAGGAGAUGAAAGGAACUGCUUCCUUUAGGUUGCUGCUUUGGUAGGCUUUCCAGGAUAGGAGAGUGAAUAUCCAGUCUUUCUUAGAGCAAGAGAUAAAGACAAGAUCAAGGGCCUGCUAUGCUUAUGUUACAGGGAAGUCACAGGUAAUUAAAGAUGUAUUAAUGUGUGACAGAAAGAAAUAAUAAAAAAAAAAAAAAACAAACAUUUAAAGCAGUUUAUAAUAAUGUUGCUGUAAUGAGAUUAUAGGUUUUUACACAGAACCUGGCUUAUGCCCUGCAUAAGAACAAGGCAAUCUUGAAGUCUUGAUAAGAUGUCUUAGCAGGGGAAAGGCUGCUGAAGUUACUAAGGGUGCAAAGAAGGGGGUUCUUGGUGUUUUCCUUCUAUAAAUCCCUGCUGGUGUUUUCAGAAGGGCUGUGUUCUAACAUGUAUAAUGUAUCUCUUCCUAGGACCACUGCAUGUUUUGAUUACUAUACAGAAGGAAGGCAAAGGUGAACAGAUGAAAGGAAAAAAAAUCAGAAACUAUUUUUCUUUUCCUCCCAGGUAUUCCGGACAAAAAUAAGGGCUUAAGUGCAUCCAUGUUCAUCCAGGAGUUUCAACAGCUUCAUAAUUUUAGCUGAAUUUUUACUCUGAUGUUAAAGGAAGUUAAAAUCAACUUAAUCUGAGGUCACAGGAGGUGUGAAGAAAGCAUUUCUCCAAUUAAAUUGCAUUUUAACUUUAUUUGACCAAGUCCAUAGUUCACUACUGAUAAGUGAAAACUAAAAUAAAAGUGUUAUUUUAAACCUUAUACACAUCCUUAAAAUUGGAAGCCUAGACAAUUUAUAUUGUGCUAGUUAAGAUUUUUUUUUCUUUAAUGUAGAUAAAGUAAAAAAUAAAUAUGAAGCUAAAGUGCAUGAAACCUUUGCAGCAUGGAAUGUGAUUUAAUAGGUUACUGGAAAUGAAACAAAGUUAUUAAUUGAUCAGAAAUUAAUAUUAUAGAAAGCUGCAAAAAUGAGGGACUUCUGUACUAUUUACAAAAUAGGUCAAAAUAGGUUGUAGUUCUAUGAGCUGUUAAGUUCCUUUUAGAAAGUAUUCAGUUGUGGCAGUCAGUCAGGGUAUUUGAUCAAAACCUUGAUGAAAAAGCAAAAUGAGUAAAAGUAUUCUCUCAGUCAAAACUGAUCUAAACUUUCUAAAGGCUGACUUGUUCAACAUGUUUUUCAUUAUGCAUUUAUCAUUUAUAACUAGAAUCUGGCAUGCCACAGGCCUUUUGCAUCAUAACUUCCUUAUCUUUCAUCAAAAAUCUACUCCUCUAAUGUCAACAAGAAGUUGCUGCCCUCAUUUGGGAGAAUAUAUCCCUUCUGUAAAUUCAUUCACUUAGGCUCAAUUCCUUCUAUUUGUUGCAGAAAGAUUUUUCUUCCCUAAGCUGUCUUGAUGCCUGCUGCUUCAGAGCUCAAGAAAUAUGUGUCUCUAUAACCAAAAGAGAAAAUACUAUUUUUGAUUUCCCAGUAUGAACAGCCAGAAUCAGCCAGAAGAGAAAUUGUCCACUUAAUGAUAUGUCCACCCCAGCUAGAUUCAAGUGUUAGAUCUCCUCAGGUACUGGAAGAAAACCUCAUUAAAGAGAAAAACUUCUGAAAGUUUGAAGAAUGAGAUAAUAUAUUAUGUCACAUUUAUACUCUGUUACUAGAAUACAGAUAUGCUGAAUCUGGACUGCUACUAUGAACAGACUGGGGAGAAGAAUUUGGGGAUGCUGGUGGAUGCAAGGCUGGACAUGACCCAGAAAUGUGCACUCAUAAAAAAAUUAAUAGAAAACAGCACUAGCAUUGACUUUAACCAGAACUUCUUCAAGUGCUGCUUGUUUGCAAAACAAAGGGGAGCAAAUGGCAAAAAAAUCUGGGAGCAACAACUUGUUCUGAAAUAAAAGCUUCAACAAGAGCCUGUUGCCACACAUUUACCACCAGGGCCACAUUGUACUUAUGUCUCUGGCAGACUAUUCCAUUCAAGAUCCAUGAUUAUUUCUGUGUAUUUUGUUGACAUUUAAGUGGAAAAAAAAGUGUUGCACAGGUAUUGAAUUUUGACUGGUUUCUGGACUGUUUGCAGGUCUUUUCAAGCCUAGCACCUUGCUCUCCCCCUCCUUCAAUCUGGUCACUCCCGGUUCCACGCUGGAAGUGAGAGUGAACCUUACAAAAACACAGCCAUUUUAGAUAGCAAUAACCCCUCUCCAUCAAUAACCAUGGAGAGAGUGAGUGCAUGCUUCCAUAUCUACAGGCAUAAGCAUCAAGCAGUACAUUGAACAGCCAAAUACAGCACUCAAAGAACCUUCUCCUAAGCCUCCGAGACAGCAAAAAAACCAAGCUCAGAUGGCAUGGAAGAAAAGAAGGAAAAAGACUGUAACCACAGAUGUUUGUCACAGAAAAUGUCCCUCCACUACUUCAUAAGACUGUUUGUUCUAUAUUGUCUGAAUUUUAUGUAAAUAUAUAUACUGAGGUUCAAAAGCUCAAACACACAGAAAUUAUAAAAAAAAAGCUACAGCUUCUUUUAUAGCCAUUUUUUGUGAGUCUUUAAGAAUGCUUUCAGUUUUCAAAAUUCUGUUAUAUUCUAACAGUACAACUGUGUCUCCAUUUUAUAACAGUAGUUAUAAGAUCCAAGUAAUUUUGUCUUAAGAAUAAUGAGUCUUUAAAGCCAUUGAGAAGCAGAGAUGCAAAAGCCUCUAACAGCCUUACUAAAGGAUGUGCAGCACUCGUGUAACUAAAUACAAUUUUGUCUAUGUACUUUAAACGUGACAAAUCCAUGAAAUUGAAAUUUGCAAAUACUCAGUCUUUACUGAAUCUUGCAGCCUAUCACAAUUUAAUUUUUUUCAUGUAGAUGUAUUCUAUUAACAGGUUAUUCUCCAAGAACUGACAGAUUUGCAGAUUUGUCCUUUGGUUUAAAUCUGACUGCAAAAACAAAAGUGACUUUAGAGAUAGAAAAAGAAAAUAGUAGCCUCAGUACUGGCCUCUGGGGUUGCUGCUACAAAAACUUAAAAAAUGCUAAGAGAACUGAAAGUACUAGCUAAGUAAGCAAACCAAUGCUAUGUCCUAGACACUGAGUGAGCUGCUAACAAAUGCUAAUAACACCAAGCAUGUAACUAGAAAGCUGAAAAACAAUAGACUUUUCACUGCCUUCCCAUGGACCCAGUGGCCAAGACUUUGAAAGGAUGUACUGUUUCAGCCUUUCGUCAUACUCAACAUCUAUCCAUGUUAAAAUCUAGAAGCUGAAGGAGCAAGUCAAGACUUAAAAGUUGAGAAGAAUUCAGUUUGCAUCAAUGGACUUUUUGGACAAUGUGGGUUAACAGUAUGGGUUUCAUAAUUUGUCGAAUAAAUUCUUUGCGUUGUAA